Molecule: ribosomal RNA, 1011 nt
Filed under: Escherichia coli
Lineage: Bacteria; Pseudomonadati; Pseudomonadota; Gammaproteobacteria; Enterobacterales; Enterobacteriaceae
Description: partial 23S ribosomal RNA
Rfam family: Bacterial large subunit ribosomal RNA
Source: RNAcentral
CGAACCGGGGGAACUGAAACAUCUAAGUACCCCGAGGAAAAGAAAUCAACCGAGAUUCCCCCAGUAGCGGCGAGCGAACGGGGAGCAGCCCAGAGCCUGAAUCAGUGUGUGUGUUAGUGGAAGCGUCUGGAAAGGCGCGCGAUACAGGGUGACAGCCCCGUACACAAAAAUGCACAUACUGUGAGCUCGAUGAGUAGGGCGGGACACGUGGUAUCCUGUCUGAAUAUGGGGGGACCAUCCUCCAAGGCUAAAUACUCCUGACUGACCGAUAGUGAACCAGUACCGUGAGGGAAAGGCGAAAAGAACCCCGGCGAGGGGAGUGAAAAAGAACCUGAAACCGUGUACGUACAAGCAGUGGGAGCACGCUUAGGCGUGUGACUGCGUACCUUUUGUAUAAUGGGUCAGCGACUUAUAUUCUGUAGCAAGGUUAACCGAAUAGGGGAGCCGAAGGGAAACCGAGUCUUAACUGGGCGUUAAGUUGCAGGGUAUAGACCCGAAACCCGGUGAUCUAGCCAUGGGCAGGUUGAAGGUUGGGUAACACUAACUGGAGGACCGAACCGACUAAUGUUGAAAAAUUAGCGGAUGACUUGUGGCUGGGGGUGAAAGGCCAAUCAAACCGGGAGAUAGCUGGUUCUCCCCGAAAGCUAUUUAGGUAGCGCCUCGUGAAUUCAUCUCCGGGGGUAGAGCACUGUUUCGGCAAGGGGGUCAUCCCGACUUACCAACCCGAUGCAAACUGCGAAUACCGGAGAAUGUUAUCACGGGAGACACACGGCGGGUGCUAACGUCCGUCGUGAAGAGGGAAACAACCCAGACCGCCAGCUAAGGUCCCAAAGUCAUGGUUAAGUGGGAAACGAUGUGGGAAGGCCCAGACAGCCAGGAUGUUGGCUUAGAAGCAGCCAUCAUUUAAAGAAAGCGUAAUAGCUCACUGGUCGAGUCGGCCUGCGCGGAAGAUGUAACGGGGCUAAACCAUGCACCGAAGCUGCGGCAGCGACGCUGAUGCGUUGUUGGGUA